This 381-nucleotide ribosomal RNA is filed under the name uncultured eukaryote. RNAcentral describes it as "partial 18S ribosomal RNA". It matches the Rfam family "Eukaryotic small subunit ribosomal RNA", at positions 592 to 976 of the family's 1831-position model. The record is from RNAcentral.
CAAUAGCGUAUAUUAAAGUUGUUGCGGUAAAAAAGCUCGUAGUUGGAUUUCUACCGAAGAUAGCCGGUCGGGUCUUCGACCUUGUAUAUGGUUUUGUCUUUGGUAUCCUCAUAGGGAACGUUUCUGCGCUUUAUUGCGUGGUGCGGUAUCUAUGACUUUUACUUUGAGGAAAUUAGAGUGUUCACGGCAGGCAAACGCCUUGAAUAUAUUAGCAUGGAAUAAUAACAUAGGAUCUUCGUCCUAUUUUGUUGGUUUCUAGGGCUAAGAUAAUGAUUAAUAGGGAUAAUUGGGGGCAUCUGUAUCAACGCGUCAGAGGUGGAAUUCUUGGAUUGCGUUGCGACAAACUACUGCGAAAGCAUUUGCCAAGGAUGUUUUCAUUGA